RNAcentral lists this ribosomal RNA (301 nucleotides) under uncultured bacterium. RNAcentral's name for it is "partial 16S ribosomal RNA". It matches the Rfam family "Bacterial small subunit ribosomal RNA", at positions 509 to 807 of the family's 1533-position model. The record is from RNAcentral.
CAGUCGCCACGGUAAUACAGAGGAUGCAAGCGUUAUCCGGAAUGAUUGGGCGUAAAGGGCGCGUAGGCGGCCAUUCAAGUUAGAUGUGAAAGCCCUGGGCUCAACCUAGGAAUUGCAUUUGAUACUGUUUGGCUUGAGUUCGGGAGAGGUGAGUGGAAUUCCCAGUGUAGAGGUGAAAUUCGUAGAUAUUGGGAAGAACACCAGUGGCGAAGGCGGCGACCUGGUCCUUGACUGACGCUGAGGCGCGAAAGCGUGGGGAGCAAACAGGAUUAGAUACCCCCGUAGUCCCUGUCUCUUAUAC